CCAAGUAGAAGCUUGUAUGAUACUGCCACAUCAACCACUUAGAAAUCCAUGGUGAAUUCUACUGGACCAAUGGUCAAUUCCAGUAUGAUGUCACCCACUAUGUCGGUACCACCUCUGUCAAAACCUCGGACACAGACGAUGUUCUUGUGAAUCCGGUCAUGAUCAAUUUUCAGCCUGUUCAAAGUGGCAAAAGUACAGAUGUUGGCA
RNAcentral lists this long non-coding RNA (207 nucleotides) under Nicotiana benthamiana. RNAcentral describes it as "long non-coding RNA (NBEN_LNC042199)". Lineage: Eukaryota; Viridiplantae; Streptophyta; Magnoliopsida; Solanales; Solanaceae. The record is from RNAcentral.